UACGUAGGGGGCAAGCGUUAUCCGGAUUUACUGGGUGUAAAGGGAGCGUAGACGGCAGUGCAAGUCUGGAGUGAAAGGCGGGGGCUCAACCCCCGGACUGCUCUGGAAACUGUAAGGCUAGAGUGCAGGAGAGGUAAGUGGAAUUCCUAGUGUAGCGGUGAAAUGCGUAGAUAUUAGGAGGAACACCAGUGGCGAAGGCGGCUUACUGGACUGUAACUGACGUUGAGGCUCGAAAGCGUGGGGAGCAAACAGG
Molecule: ribosomal RNA, 253 nt
Filed under: uncultured bacterium
Lineage: Bacteria
Description: partial 16S ribosomal RNA
Rfam family: Bacterial small subunit ribosomal RNA
Source: RNAcentral